Molecule: long non-coding RNA, 2624 nt
Organism: Papaver somniferum (opium poppy)
Lineage: Eukaryota; Viridiplantae; Streptophyta; Magnoliopsida; Ranunculales; Papaveraceae
Exons: 2
Source: RefSeq, a predicted model, not a curated record
CAAAAUGUAGUAGUAUCACACAUGGAACCCCCGAUGGUGUGAACUUGCAUACGAUAAAGUAACCUAUUUAUGAAUCAUUUUGUGGAUUUAAUAUUAUAAGAGUGAUGAAUAUAGUGAAGUUGUUUGCAAAGAUCAUGAACUUGCCAAAGCAACAUUAAUAUCUGACCAUACAAGGAAGGUGAGGAAAAGCAAGCAAAUAUUUUUGCAUAUGGGUGAUGCAACGAAGGCCAAUGUGGCGCAAAAGUUUUAGUAUCGGAUUAAAUGAAACAAUAUAAGGAUAAAAAAUUUCUUUUUACCAAACGAAUCAGAUGGAUGCACUUUAUCAUAAGCCAGGUAUUUACGAGACGAAAUGAUUUGGAUGCCACAAGCCAGAAAGAUUCGAAAGCGUUGGCAACGCAUCCAUAUCAUAAAGUCCGACGCGCCGAAGGCGCAUGAGAGGUUGAGCCCAGGCCGAAGGCCUGGGUGAUACCCUAGUUUAUUCUACAAUGAGGGCCUAUCAUUUCCUACCCCUUCAAAACAACCAUGAGUGUACAAACUAUCCAGUAAUGCUGUAAAGACAAAUUACAAGGGAAUAAAUAAAUACAUAACGUUUGGACCUUCGCAACUUGAUCAGAACAUGCGAUAAUACCCCAAAGAGAUAAAACAAUGCGCCCACGAAUUCUUCCUGCAUAUCUGCUGCACUUGAGUGCCAAGAAGAAGUAACCGUUUGUCUCAUUAGUACAAGGGAAGUAUAAUAUGUAGGGUUCCUCGCUUUGCGGCUUAUGAAUAGGCAUUUCAAUCUCUUGAAGUUCUUCACUAAAAAUGGGAUAGAAAUCACCUAUGUUCUAUGAUGAACAAAUUUUACAAACAACUUCAUCUUUUUAUGAAAAUAUUUCGAAGAAAUCUCCUAGGUUGAUGCAGUGUUCUUCUUCUUCUUUUUCUUCAACUACUGCAGAAAUGUUCAAUGAGAUGCGUGAAGCAAUAGUUUUAAUUUCUUCCAUUAUUUCUUUCAUCUCUCUGUUAAGAACUUUAAUUUCACGGUUGAGAGCUACCAAUUCUUCAUGUUGCUCCAGAAUCGAAAACAUAGUUUUGGUAUUUUCCAUGACACUGUUACGUUGUAUAGGGUAUAAACCGUCCGAAAGAAUCAAACGGCUCUGAUACCAAUUGAUAAGCCCAAAACUUAUCAAUCAAUAAUCAGUACAGAAAUUAGACGAAUGAACAUAUGAGAAGGGAAAAACGCAGACAAAGAAUAGAAGAAUUCAUUAGAAAACAGAUAAGGGGUUUACAAACACAAAAGGAUACAUCAAUCCAUUUCAUUCAACAACUCCCUAAACAGAUGCACCGCCAUCAUAUAUAUAGCAGCACCCGUAGAGUAACCACCUAAACUACCCUAACCACUCCACAACGUAUGUACAUAUCAUUAAUUCUACAAUGAGGGCCUAUCAGCCGAAAAUUGAAAUUCUUUUUCAUGGAUUUUGUAUUGAAAUCUCUUUCCCACUCUGUAACUCACAGAUUCAAGUCCAUGGAUUUGUUUUAUGUCACUAGCCUAAGUAUUUACAAUCCAUGAUUGCUCCACUUAAUUUAACGAAUGUACCCAUUGCUAAACAGAUUUUGUUAUGGUAUAAGAAAUGCUUACUUAUGCACUGCACUAGCAUAUUUAUUCUUUUAUGAAAAUUUUAGGUCCUCUUUUACUGUACUCUUUGAUGUCCUUUCCAUAUUAAUCUUAACUCUUUUUCAUGGAAUGAUAAGGAAGGUCCAGAUCUCCUUGUGUUGUAGCUUUACUUUUUGUAGUAGUUAUCUUGAAUUUUUGACACAAACAUUUGCAGAAUGGUAAAUGGUCCUUUGGUUUACUUAUACCAAUCCAGUUUGCUCGAUAUUUCAUUUCAAGAUAGAUCUCUCUCUCGGCAAUUAGGACAAUCUUUUCUUUUCGGUCGAACUUCAGAUAACUUGAUUUUAGUAACCUGACAAGGAUGACCGAGCAACUUCAGUUCGUUUAGGAUUGCACACAACAACUUUCACCAAUAUGGCAUCGGUAUUGUAGUUUAAUGACGGUUUGAUGCCAUACAAAGUUUUGCACGGGAGAAAGAUGUGCUUGGGUCGAGAAGAAAUUCUGAGGGUGAUGACAAAGAUAAGGAUCGUCUACUAUUCGAAAGGAGCCAUGGAAAUAUGAAGAAAUGACUUUCGAAAUAUUCUGAGUCUGACAUGGAUGUUUUUCUGGAUGAUUGUCCAAUGUUGGGCAUUAAGCGAUUCCACAAAAAGAAUUAAUUAAAUGCUUUCGAUGUGGGCUUAGUAGAAAUUUUCAGCAAAUUUGAGAAAUUGUUUUGGACUAGAAUUACAGAUGCAAUCGGAGGGUUGCACGAGUCUCCACAUAACCGCGCUUUGAUGAUACCCUUGAAACUUGCAAGGCUUAAAUCGAACCACAAUGUGAAUUACGUAAUAAAGGAUUCUAGAUUUUCGGUGCAAACAAGCAAGUCCUCGGGAUAGAGACCUUUAAAAUGGUGAUGGUGUUUCCACGAUAUAGUAACUUGGAAGAGGCAACCGGGAAAAUGAAAUUCAAAUGCAAGAGUAGUAUCGAGAGUCGCAUGGAGGUAGUCUUCUUAGCCAUUAAUUUUGAUUUGAUUUUCGAUGACGAAAAUCUUUUUUUA